RNAcentral lists this transfer RNA (73 nucleotides) under uncultured Chloroflexia bacterium. RNAcentral describes it as "tRNA-Arg-TCG". The record is from RNAcentral. Lineage: Bacteria; Bacillati; Chloroflexota; Chloroflexia.
GCAGCGGUAGCACAACUGGAGAGUGCGCCAGCCUCGUGCUGGGAGUAUGUGGGGUUCAAGUUCCACCGCUGCU